GGUAAGACCAACGAAAAUAUAUUUUAGAGCAGGUGCGCCCCGGCCCGCUUAUCUGGUGCGUACAUACGCCUCGUGAUAUGUGCCAGCCGCUACCGUAAGUUUGCCAGGCCACGGUUAUAUCGGUCGGGUUAGCAGGUCCUUCGUCCGUGAUCUCGCCUACUACAUAGCGUAGGGUACUGUUCAUCAGCUAGAAACGAGACAAACAGCUAUGGGACACGGCCCGUGACUCUGGUCUAUAUGCGCCCCCCUUUAUCUCUAGGAGCAGGCUAGCCGGCGGGGGAGGGGGAUUCAGCAGGGGCAGAGAGGCCGAGGGGACCCGAUCCUGAGCGAGACGCAGGAGGUUCUGGUGCGGCGAGGAGGCACCGGGACGGGCGGGCCGCCGGGGAAACCCAGCGCCGGGGCGGCAGCGGGCACCGCCGCCCUCGACAUCUCGCCCAGCCGGCCAUUGUACGGAUCUAUCGAAGGCCAGAUUGGAAACGGAGUUGGGGCAGCAAUAGAUCUCAGGUGUUCAUCUGCAAUCCGUCAUCAUAUGCAGGUAAGAUGGCAGGCUGGCUUGAUCUGUAUUUAUCGAACGGGGUUGGGGCACAUUUACUCUGGCUGUCUUGACUAGUCUUGGUAAGGUGGAUCGAAUGGACAUAUUAGCUGAUACGUUCCUAUCGUGGAUGAAUCAAUGUUUACAGUUAGGCUUUUUGGGUGUAUGGGAUGGGCCAAGGUGCAAGUCUGAAUUUCGACAAUAUGUAAAGCUCACCAAUACAUAAGGGCUAUUAACAGACUAAGGUGUGCGAAUAAGGUGAUCUGACUUGACCGCGCCAUUGCUAUAUUUGACUCUGGAUACAAAUCCUGUACAGCUUCCGAUUUAUCUAUCCAGGGUUCUUCUGACGUGAGGCAGAGAGCAGACCAGAGUCAGUCCAACCUGGAUAAUCAUGCAGGUACUGUAUUCUUGCCCCAGUAUCAGUCGCAGUGUACAUGGGCUUGGUUGUGAAAGGUGUACAGAAAGUGGGUAGUUCUUGGCGCAGAUGACUAGAUUUUGCAGAUUGCAUUUAUGAUGUGCAAAGUACAGCCAUGUACUCCUUGGAUGCAAGAUACAACAUUGGUUGUUUUUGUUCAGUGGAGAGUGCGACACGAUUGAUGAUGUGUGUAGCACGAUUGCGGCAGUACCUCCAUGUCCAUCUAUUUUAAUGUUUAUGGAAAUUAUACUGA
Long non-coding RNA from Aegilops tauschii subsp. strangulata, 1200 nucleotides. RefSeq lists it as uncharacterized. Lineage: Eukaryota; Viridiplantae; Streptophyta; Magnoliopsida; Poales; Poaceae. The record is from RefSeq and is a predicted model, not a curated record.